GAUGAACGCUGGCGGCGUGCUUAACACAUGCAAGUCGAACGGGACUUGUUAAGUUGAAACUUCGGUCGAUUCUUUUUCAAGUCUAGUGGCGGACGGGUGAGUAACGCGUGGGUAACCUGCCUCACACUGGGGGAUAACAGUCAGAAACGAUAGCUAAUACCGCAUGACAAUGGAGGACCCAUGUCUUUCAUUUAAAAGGUGCAACUGCAUCACUAUGAGAUGGACCUGCGUUGUAUUAGCUAGUUGGUGAGGUAACGGCUCACCAAGGCGACGAUACAUAGCCGACCUGAGAGGGUGAACGGCCACACGUGGGACUGAGACACGGCCCAG
Molecule: ribosomal RNA, 330 nt
Filed under: uncultured bacterium
Lineage: Bacteria
Description: bacterial SSU rRNA
Rfam family: Bacterial small subunit ribosomal RNA
Source: RNAcentral